UUCUGAGGUGGUUUUAGGGUAAAAGUGAGGGGAAUUGGUGUGCUAUGGUGGUUUUGGGGUGAGACUGGGGGGAAUUGGGGUCCUGUGGUGGUUUUGGGGUGAAAGUGAGGAGAAUUGGGGUCCUGAGUUGUUUGGAGGCAUUUUGGGGUGAAAUUGAGGGAAAACGAACACUUGGGAUGAUUUUGGGGUAAAAUGAGGUGGAAAAGGGAGUUUUGGGGCACAUGGGCACAAAUUUUGGGGUCGUUUUUGGGGUGUAAUAGGGGAAAAAAGGGGUUUCCCUGCCCAUUUUGGGGGUAGAAGUGAGGGAAAAUGGGGGGUUGGGUGUAUUUUGGGGUAUAAUGGAGCGAAAAUGGGAUUUUCUGUGUCCUGGGUCAUUUUUGGGGUUAGAGCUGAGGAAAAAGGGGUUCCCCACUGCAACUUGGAGUAAUAAUGAGGAAAAAUGGGGUAAAAUUAAAUGAAAAAGGGAUUUUUGGGGUGUAUUUUAGGUAUAAUGUGAGGAAAAACAGAUUUCUGUCGCAAUUUCUGGGUCAAAACUGAAGGGGAAUUUGGAGUGUAACAUGGAGGAAAGAGGGCUUCUCCAGUCCAUUUUUGGGGCCAUGUUACGGCGCAUUUUGGGGGGUCCUCGUGGACCCCCGGCGCUGCCCCCCCGCCCCGCAUCGCGCUCAGCUGCCGACCAGCACCCCCCAGACCUGGCUCGGGAACGUUCCAAAACUGUCACCUCCUUCUACAACCAACCCGCCAUCGACGCCGCUGCCGAGAAGGUGGGGUACUGAGGGGGGGGGGAUUUGGGGUGAAUUUGGGGUGUUUUGGGGGUGUUGGGAGGGUUGCUGUGGUGGUUUGGGGGGGAUUUGGGGUGUUUGGGGGGGGGUUCGUUGGGGUCUUGUGGCUUGGAUGAUGUUGUGUUGGGGUCUUGUGGCUUUGAAGAUACGGUGUUGUUACCCAUCAGGUUGUCCUUGGGGGUGAGGACAUGAGGGAGGUCUUGGGGGUGUUCUGUGGGGUU
Molecule: long non-coding RNA, 1000 nt
Filed under: Phasianus colchicus (ring-necked pheasant)
Lineage: Eukaryota; Metazoa; Chordata; Aves; Galliformes; Phasianidae
Description: lncRNA (ENSPCLG00000013460.1)
Source: RNAcentral